Molecule: ribosomal RNA, 497 nt
Filed under: uncultured Archaeospora
Lineage: Eukaryota; Fungi; Glomeromycota; Glomeromycetes; Archaeosporales; Archaeosporaceae
Description: SSU rRNA
Rfam family: Eukaryotic small subunit ribosomal RNA
Source: RNAcentral
CCAAUAGCGUAUAUUAAAGUUGUUGCAGUUAAAAAGCUCGUAGUUGAAUUUUGGGCCUGGUCGGGCGGUCCGCCUUUUGGUGAGUACUGUCAUUGUGCCGGGUCUCUUUUUCUGGUGAGCUAGUGUUCUCUUCACUGGGUGCGCUAGGGAAUCAGGACUGUUACCUUGAAAAAAUUAGAGUGUUUAAAGCGGGCAUUUGCUUGAAUACAUUAGCAUGGAAUAAUGAAAUAGGACGGCGUUUCUAUUUUGUUGGUUAUGGGGACACCGUAAUGAUUAAUAGGGAUAGUUGGGGGCAUUAGUAUUCAAUUGUCAGAGGUGAAAUUCUUGGAUUUAUUGAAGACUAACUACUGCGAAAGCAUUUGCCAAGGAUGUUUUCAUUAAUCAAGAACGAAAGUUAGGGGAUCGAAGACGAUCAGAUACCGUCGUAGUCUUAACCAUAAACUAUGCCGACUAGGAAUCGGGCGAUGUUAUUUUAAUGACUCGCUCGGCACCUUAUG